This is a non-coding RNA of Chrysemys picta bellii (western painted turtle), 3159 nucleotides long. The record is from RefSeq and is a predicted model, not a curated record. NCBI's taxonomy places the organism in Eukaryota, Metazoa, Chordata, Testudines, Emydidae.
CAUUUUUUUUUCAACCAAAACUAUUCACCGAAUUCAACCUGAAUUCACAAAUAGUUUCAGUUCCUUGAAAAAAUGCAUUUUUUGGCAAAUUUACUAUUAGCCAAACUAAAUUUGCCCAGCUAUGCAUGGCACUAACAUGCACUGUACUUGUGUCUAGUCAGUAACAUCACUUCCUUGCCUUAAUAUGCUCUAAAAAUAACAUUCUUCCAGAAAAUAGUGUUUUUGAAAGAUAGAAGAAUGUUUUGUCAUGUGACUGAAGGUCUAGGGCUAUGUCCUGUCCAGGUCAGCUCUGAGAGGAGAAAUGAAUCAAAACAAAUCCUGUGGUCUAGAGUAGAAUUGAAUAGGCAUGCUAGGGAGAAGAUUUGCCUCCAUCCUUAAAUAUAUACAAAUGGGCAUAUGUCUGGAUCUGGAUUUGCCUUGACUCUUAGAUAUAUACAAAUAGGUAUAUGUGUCCAUGUGAAGUUUAAAGGCUACAGAAUUUAUACAAAAUAAGCAGUUUUUAAUGCUUUUAUACAUUCACCAUCCUCCUUUGUACAUGUCUACCUUGCAUAUCACAUACCUAGCAAAUAUAAUCAAAUGAGUAGGGGAAAUUCCUACACAAGCAUACUUACUUUUUAAAAGUGAAAAACUGGUUUUAUUUAAUUGAUGUGAAUAUCAAAUUUACAUAUGGUUUAAGUCGUAGCAAAUUAAAAGCUCUUAUAUUUACAGGUUAUUUUUCUGAACAUAUGAUGAACAUAAGAAUUUGUCCUUUGUACUAUACAAUUGUGGUGACCAACGCCUGGAUAUAAAAAAUUACAGGGCUUCCUUAAAGUGUACGUCAAACAUCACAACCUCAUAUGAAUUUUUAGCAGCAUAUUUAAUGUAUUGCAAUUGAUAAAUACUCAAAAUGUUGUGUCUGAAUUUCAGGGGAAAACAAAUAUAGAUACGUUAUGUAGACCAAUAUGAUGCCACAUACUAAAAAAAUUUCUCAAAACCUUACAUUGUUUUAUAACAUGCUGUCUUGGUGGCUAUUAAGUAAAUAGUUGUGAUAUUCUAGAAAAUCUUAGUUUGCAUUUUUGCUAUUUGUUUCAAUUUGAUACCAUUUCAUUUUAAUCCUGUGCCAUACAAAUGUUCCUCUAGAUGGUGCUCCAUAAUCAAGAAUUGCAUUUUAAUACUAUCCCAUUCUAAAGACUCCCGAGAAAUAGUCUUAGUCAAGAAGACAGUCUCCUUUGUCUCUAAAUUCUGUAUUAUAAUAAUUCCAUCUGUACUGCAAUUUACUGACUUCUGAUUCAGUAAAAUAGAAAUACAUUAUUUAUUGCUCUUGCAAAUCUUAAAACCUAUGCACUAUAACACAAAAUGCCAUCUGUGUGGAAUAAUAUCAUCUGAGCCGCUGUGGACUGAUCCAUAUCUCAUAUCUGUUAUGGCAGCCAUUAAGUGGUGUGAGCUGUUCAGUGUCCUGUUGAGCUGCUAGAUGAACUGCUUAGGGGCCCCAGCCAUACACCAGGACUCCACUGUGCUAGAUGCUGUACAAACACAGAACAAAAAGAUGGUUCCUGCCCUGAUAAGGUUGCAAUCCAAGUAUAAGAACAGAUACAAAAGGUAGAUGCAACAAGCAGAUGGGAAGCAUAAGAACAUCAUGUGUCAGUACUGGUCAACAAGAGUCAACCCUUCCCCAGAUACAGUCCCCCAUACGUUUCCUAGGUUUUUAAAAAAGCAAAUUGAAAAAAACCAAGUGCAGCGUGAGGCACCACAGUGAUUUCUGCACGAGUCAGCAGCGGAGUCUGAACCCAGGACCUUUUGACCCACAAAACAGCUAAAAGGGAAACUCAUGGUAGCAGUAGGUUCUCGUCUUCUAUGUAGAUUAGCCACUAUAGCCAAUCACACUUUGCUAGUGACUUGCGCAUGUCUAUUUGCAAGACAGGAGAGGAAUGCUCAGUCUCAAGCUUCCUAAGUUCUGUUCCUGGCUCUGGAUUGCGGUCUACUGGCUCAACUGUAGAACUAAGUAUGAAGAUUUGUAACCUUUGUUCUGAAAGGCCCGGUGCCUAAGUGGAUGAGACUUGGGUCUGCCAUAUUAGAGACCUAUGUUCUAUUCCCAGCUGUCCCUGAAGUGACUUUGUGCAACCUUUCAGUUACUUCAAAUGUAAAAUGGGGAGGGAGAAUGAUAGUUGCCGUCCUUUAAGGUGUAUGAGCCCUGGUUUAAUAAUAAAGGCUGUUAAGAGUGCAUUAUAAACAUCAGAAAGUGGAAGCAGAACUCAUGAUCUCCUGGCUUUCAUCCUAGCACUCCUUCCCAUAGGGUAAAGGAUAUUUUGCAGCUGCUGCUUUGCUUGGGUAUCCAUUCAGAGCCACAAAGGGAGUUGUGAGUCGCAGAGCGUGUUCAGACAGUUGGAUUUUUCAGAUAUUUUAGCAGGAAGCCUCUAACAUUGCUCUGCUGAGAAUGUGCAAAUGGUAAUGCUCAGAGGCCUAUAAUUUGGCCACAUCUGGGUGAAUUUUCAACAGGUCAACAAAAGACACUUCUUUGAUCCCACAACUAUCCCCUGCCAAAUUUUGAGUUCCUGCUCUAAAGCAUCAAGGAGCUUUAAAUAAAUUGUUGGAAACUUAAUAUAUUAAAAAAAUCAGUAAAAAAAUAGGUAGUUUUGCUAACUUCAUUCUCAGAAAAGGUAUUUUUGCUGAACAUUUAAAAAAAAAUCUAGCCUGAGAAGGAGAUAAAGAAUGGAAAAUUUUAAUCCUAAUGGUUAAAGUCUGACAAAUUAAUAAGCAACUGAAAACAGGGCCUUAUUAUGUAAAAUGUAAAACACACUUACUUAUAGGCAUAGCUACCAGCACUGCCUACAAUUAUGGCUCUGUGGUCUCUAUUCCACACACAUUGUUAGGAGAAUGAUGCUUUGAAUAGUCUCCCAUGGCAAGCAGUGAAAGAAUCAUCACACUUUGUUUAAAAUUUCAUCAGACAAAUCACUCAAGAAUUUACCACAGGGAAUGUUCCUGCACUGGCAGUAGGACAAAAAAGAACACUCAAUAGCUCUUUGCCAUCUGUAAUUUCUAAGAUAUUGAUGGAGAUUCCUCUAACUGGGCAAAAUACAUAAUCUCAUUAAAAAUAUUAAAAAGCUAGUUGACUAGCUAUGCACUUUAUUCCUAUAAAUACAUUUUGAAAAAGAAAACCGCUGUAUUAAAGAGGUCUUAAAU